This 550-nucleotide ribosomal RNA is filed under the name Stenotrophomonas maltophilia. Its description in RNAcentral is "bacterial SSU rRNA". It matches the Rfam family "Bacterial small subunit ribosomal RNA", at positions 557 to 1104 of the family's 1533-position model. Lineage: Bacteria; Pseudomonadati; Pseudomonadota; Gammaproteobacteria; Lysobacterales; Lysobacteraceae. The record is from RNAcentral.
GGCGUAAAGCGUGCGUAGGGUGGUUGUUUAAGUCCGUUGUGAAAGCCCUGGGCUCAACCUGGGAACUGCAGUGGAUACUGGGCGACUAGAAUGUGGUAGAGGGUAGCGGAAUUCCUGGUGUAGCAGUGAAAUGCGUAGAGAUCAGGAGGAACAUCCAUGGGGAAGGCAGCUACCUGGACCAACAUUGACACUGAGGCACGAAAGCGUGGGGAGCAAACAGGAUUAGAUACCCUGGUAGUCCACGCCCUAAACGAUGCGAACUGGAUGUUGGGUGCAAUUUGGCACGCAGUAUCGAAGCUAACGCGUUAAGUUCGCCGCCUGGGGAGUACGGUCGCAAGACUGAAACUCAAAGGAAUUGACGGGGGCCCGCACAAGCGGUGGAGUAUGUGGUUUAAUUCGAUGCAACGCGAAGAACCUUACCUGGCCUUGACAUGUCGAGAACUUUCCAGAGAUGGAUUGGUGCCUUCGGGAACUCGAACACAGGUGUUGCAUGGCUGUCGUCAGCUUGUGUCGUGAGAUGUUGGGUUAAGUCCCGCAACGAGCGCAACCC